Molecule: non-coding RNA, 221 nt
Organism: Xenopus laevis (African clawed frog)
Lineage: Eukaryota; Metazoa; Chordata; Amphibia; Anura; Pipidae
Source: Rfam
CCAGCCGCUAGAAAGCCAAGCUGUUGUUUUAAUAGAGCAAUAAAAAUGAAUUAUAGUUUAAACGCCUUCGAGUUUCUGGAUGGAAUCCCCAGUCCAGACUAAUACGUAAGAGGGGUUUUUUUAUGUGUGUGUGAGCUCUUUGCAAUUGAUCUUCCCCCUCGAUGACAUCCUCGUUCAUAGAAAGUAUUUGAUUUAUGAGAUUAGGAAGAAUUGCAUCCAGC